AAGUCGAGCACAGUGGAGAGUGUUUUCUUUUUUCAAUCGUUUGCAAUCACGAUAAAUUGAGUGAGGGGCUACCGACUGACAUCGAUUCAAGAGCGGAUUUAAUGUAGUAUUGCAAAAAGAAAUAUGCUUGAAAAAAUACUUGGAUAAAUAAAAAGGCUGGUUUCGGUGGGGAAAUAAACAAUCGUUUAUUUCACGUUGAAAGGUCGAGUUGAGGAUUGAACGGAAACGUGAUUCUGGAUAUGAAAUGGGCAGCGAAGACUUGAAAGAACAAAAACUUCUCGGGUGUUGUAAGAGUGAGAGAGACGGCGAAGGAAGAAAAAAUGGAGUUGAGCCCGUUUCACGGUGACAAUGGAAAAAUAUCUCCAAGGUAGAAUAAAAUCAGAAUUGAGGGAAAAGUGAAAAAGACGGCAGUAAGGGUGAAAGAAAAAAAGUUGUUGCGGCUACGGGAGUGAACGGUGGGAUAAAUGUUGGUCGGGAGAGGAAGAAAGAACGGAAAAGGGGCAGUAUUUGGGCUCGUGUCAAAUAAAAUAUCAAAGUGUCAGAAAAAUUUGGGAGUUUGUGAAUUUCUGUACGGAAAUUGGCUUACUCCGGGAUUCCGGUUCCGGAGCUCCGUACAACUUGAUCGAAAGACACAUGCGUCCUUGCAAAACGAAUAUACUUCGGCAUUGCAAGAGACGAAAAUCAUUAAAUAUUUUUCAAUAGAGACUUUAUUAUUUGGUUCGUUAACGAGUCAGCCACUCGUGAUAUCGUUCCACCGCGAUUGAAACGCGGAAUCCUUCUUAUAGCGAAGAUAAAGAAAGACAAGAAAAAGCCAAGGUCACGGGGCAAUUGAAAUUUGAUGGUCGCAGAAAAGUGAAAUGUCGGUGAGCGAUCGCGAAGCAUUUGAGGCCUUCUGGCGGUCACUCAGCCACGAAAAUCUCACGGAAGCUGAGUAUCUCGAUCGGAUAUUGGGACCGAAAUAUUUGCCCAUGAGACUUGUAUUACCCCUGACACUCGUCUACGUAACUAUAUUCAUAACAGGAAUCAUCGGUAACGUCAUUACAUGCACAGUUAUCAUCAAGAACACGACUAUGCACACGACUACCAACUACUAUUUAUUCAGUCUGGCCAUAUCGGAUCUUACGCUGCUUAUACUUGGUUUGCCCAACGAACUGAGUAUUUUCUGGCAACAAUAUCCGUGGCCUCUGGGUGUGGGAUUGUGCAAGAUUAGAGCUUUCGUUUCGGAAAUGUCUUCGUACGUUUCCGUACUAACAAUAGUUGCAUUUUCGUUGGAGCGUUAUCUCGCCAUAUGUCAUCCUCUCCGGGUUUACGCGAUGAGAGCGAUGAAGAGACCGACUCGUUUCAUCUUUGCUGUGUGGCUCAUAGCUCUUGUCUCAGCUUUGCCUUUUGCGGUUUACACGACUGUUAAUUACGUCGAGUAUCCACCCGGUUCAGGCAAAAUCUCUCUCAACUCGGCAAUAUGCGCUAUGUUGUUGCCCGAAAUGCCAGUUCUUCCGCUCUACGAACUCAGCUGUUUUAUAUUCUUCAUUCUUCCGUUGUGCGUUAUUAUUGUUCUUUAUACGAGGAUGGGACUGAGAAUCCGUAGCAGCGCGAAAGAUCACAGCGGAGCUGCAAAGGCAUCGGCGCAUUGGGAUUCGAAACAAGUGCAGGGACGAAAAAUCGUUGUUAGAAUAUUGAGCGCUGUCGUCAUAAUGUUCUUCAUCUGUUGGGCCCCGUUUCAUGCUCAACGAUUACUCUACGUUUACGCCAAGGAGGCGGAUUAUUAUCCCGAUUUAAACGAAUGGCUGUACAUACUGAGCGGAUGUCUCUACUAUUUCAGCACGACGGUCAAUCCAAUACUCUACAAUCUUAUGAGUGCUCGAUAUCGCAAAGCGUUCCAGAAAAUCGUAUUCCGAUGUCGUGGCAAAGUAAAAACAGCCCCAAAGCCGAAGAGACAAAAAUUGGCUGCAAAGAACCCGGAUUUGUGCAGAUUCACGAUCAAUCAGACCAACGGAAUAUUUGGAUUCAGCUCGGCUCUGCGAGAUCCUCAAGGAGUUGCUAAAAAUUCGAUCGGCUCUACUCAUGCACACGAGGCAGAAAUUAACACCCCCUUGGACAAGCCACUCCUAUAUUCGAAAUACCCCAACGUCGAAGAGCUGUCGAGUUUCGAAAGUGCUUCGUCGCAACAGAAGAAGCUGCAACAGACAAUGUCGACAGCAAGCAGCUCUUUGUAAAAACUUUCCACGAAAACACUACUUCACGAUAAAAUUUGUAUACAAUCCGUAUUUCCAUUCUUUGACCAUAAUUUUUUAUUAUUUUUUAAAUAUAUUUCCCAAGGAAGGAAGUUCGACGUUACUUUUUUGAAAAAUUCUAAAUGGAACAAAUUUUGGCGCCGUGAUGAAUAAAACAAUUAUUAUUGUCAUUAUUACUGCAAAAUAUAUAAAUCGAAUGAUUUAUUUGAUCGAUGUUGCCAUCGAAAUCUGGUCUCGCUGAAUUGUUGUAAUUGUAGCACAAACUAGCGAGGUCUCCUCAAAAUGAUGCUCCCUGAAUUUGCAACCAUGCAAUCUCAAUAACUAUAUCUCGAUUGAGUUAGAAUCGAUCAGACCACUCAUCGGUUAACUCAUAAAUCCCCGAGCGGACGACACUUUCUGAUGGUGCUGUUCCAUUGAAGCAUUAGAUGGGGAAUUUUUUCAAUUGAUUUAGUUGUUAGAAUAAGAAAGAAUGCUGGGACAUCGGUUUCCAAAAUGUUUUCAAGCGCAAUUUUUCGGUCCUUUAUUUCUCACGUUCAAUUGGAUUUUUUUUUUUACUUUAUAAAAUAAUUUUAGAUUUUUUUAACCAUAAUGUUUUUUCAUGAUUUGUGAAAAUUUUUUCGAAUUAUUGUGUUGAAAUUAUUUACAGUUGGUUUCAUAAUUUCUUUUUAUGGAAUUUUUCUUACUCUUUUUGUGAUCAGGAAACAAGGGUCCAUCAAUGUACUUGUCUCAACCUUUUUUCCCCUAUUAAAACUUGGUGGAAUUGCAGUUGCUUAUAUCGUUCAGUUUUUCCACGAAACGUUGGAAGUAAAGAAUUGAGAAUUCUGCUGCCUUUUCCGCUCGCACUAUAUCUUAAAAAUAUGUCGGUGUACCGGAUUGAAAAUAUAUGUAUAACGCGAAAUUGCCUGAUAAUGGGUAAUUCUCAAGCUUCAUCGUCAGUGAAUUUGACUUGAAUAAAGACAUCAAUAAAAACUGAAGUUUCGGAGAUAUUGAUGCUACAGCGAAAAGUAGUCCACGUCAAACCAUCUUGGUAAUUAUUUUAUUUAUUUGAAGAAAAAAAGAUUAUCUCAACAUGAAUUUCGAAUCUUUGUAGUUAGAAUUAGAGCGUUUUUCACAAUUUCAAUAGUCGAUAACAGAUUACAAUGAAAUUGGAAACAGUCUGAAACAAUCGGCGAACCGAUCUAUGUAAGGUUAGUUACAGAAUAUUCUUUUUGUGUUUUCCAAAUUUGCAUUAACCUUCAUUCGAUCGCGAUAGCGAAGAAAAUAUGUCAAAAUUUUUGCCAGAUGUGAAACGUAAAAAACUCAUUUCUAACCUAAACUUUUCGUCAAAAAUAUAAAAUCGAAUUUGUUUUUCUAGUAUUCAGUCUAAUAUGGGGAGGUUAACGCUCACGCAUUUGGCUUUUUAUAUACUGAGAUUUGUAUGGUUCACCGGCGAAAUAUUCAUGGAUUUAAUGCUUUGUUUACUGGACACCUUUUUCGGAAAAUUAUCUAACCUCAGAUUAGGCACAAAAGUAAUGUAUAUGUCAUCUAAAAUAAAGUGAUUUUAUAUAAUA
RNAcentral lists this unclassified non-coding RNA (3781 nucleotides) under Venturia canescens. Its description in RNAcentral is "neuropeptides capa receptor-like, transcript variant X1". Lineage: Eukaryota; Metazoa; Arthropoda; Insecta; Hymenoptera; Ichneumonidae. The record is from RNAcentral.